RNAcentral lists this ribosomal RNA (168 nucleotides) under Wallaceodendron celebicum. RNAcentral describes it as "5.8S ribosomal RNA". It matches the Rfam family "5.8S ribosomal RNA". Rfam says of the family: 5.8S ribosomal RNA (5.8S rRNA) is a component of the large subunit of the eukaryotic ribosome. It is transcribed by RNA polymerase I as part of the 45S precursor that also contains 18S and 28S rRNA. The record is from RNAcentral. Lineage: Eukaryota; Viridiplantae; Streptophyta; Magnoliopsida; Fabales; Fabaceae.
GACUCUCGGCAACGGAUAUCUCGGCUCUCGCAUCGAUGAAGAACGUAGCGAAAUGCGAUACUUGGUGUGAAUUGCAGAAUCCCGUGAACCAUCGAGUCUUUGAACGCAAGUUGCGCCCGAAGCCGCUCGGCCGAGGGCACGUCUGCCUGGGUGUCACGCAACGUCGCC